This is a non-coding RNA of Oryza barthii, 183 nucleotides long. NCBI's taxonomy places the organism in Eukaryota, Viridiplantae, Streptophyta, Magnoliopsida, Poales, Poaceae. The record is from Rfam.
AAUAAGCAUAGUUGUGAGUUUUAGUGUCCAAUGUUUGACCUCUAUUUUAUUUGAGAUUUUUUUAUGAUUAAUAUUUUUAUUGUUAUUAGAUGAUAUGCGUGACUUAAUUUUUAUUUUUUUAUAAGUUUUCAAAUAAAACGGACAGUCAAACGUUGGACACGAAAAUUUAUGAUUGCACUUAAA